UAUCCCCCCCCCUGUCGUGCCCCUUGCCCUCCCCCACCGACCUGCAGAACGCGAAGAACCUUACCAACCCUUGACAUGGGACGUAUGGACUUCAGAGAUGAGGUUCUUCAGUUCGGCUGGCGUCCACACAGGUGCUGCAUGGCUGUCGUCAGCUCGUGUCGUGAGAUGUUGGGUUAAGUCCCGCAACGAGCGCAACCCUCAUCUUCAGUUGCCAUCAUUUAGUUGGGCACUCUGAAGAAACUGCCGGUGACAAGCCGGAGGAAGGCGGGGAUGACGUCAAGUCCUCAUGGCCCUUACGGGCUGGGCUACACACGUGCUACAAUGGUGGUGACAAUGGGGAGCGAGGCCGCGAGGCCAAGCCAAUCUCAAAAAGCCAUCUCAGUUCGGAUUGCACUCUGCAACUCGAGUGCAUGAAGUUGGAAUCGCUAGUAAUCGCGCAUCAGCAUGGCGCGGUGAAUACGUUCCCGGGUCUUGUACACACCG
This 483-nucleotide ribosomal RNA is filed under the name uncultured bacterium. RNAcentral's name for it is "bacterial SSU rRNA". It matches the Rfam family "Bacterial small subunit ribosomal RNA", at positions 958 to 1392 of the family's 1533-position model. The record is from RNAcentral.